GACUGGUUCAGAGGUAGCAAGUUAUCUCAAUUGAUUGUUCACAGUUGUAGAUUAAACUCCUUGUUAUAUUCCCCCCCAGUCCCUUCUCACUACUGCACUUGAAUAGUUUUAA
This 112-nucleotide non-coding RNA is filed under the name Cebus imitator (Panamanian white-faced capuchin). Lineage: Eukaryota; Metazoa; Chordata; Mammalia; Primates; Cebidae. The record is from RNAcentral.